Molecule: non-coding RNA, 23 nt
Filed under: Cricetulus griseus (Chinese hamster)
Lineage: Eukaryota; Metazoa; Chordata; Mammalia; Rodentia; Cricetidae
Source: RNAcentral
UGAAUGUCAAUAAACAGCAGCUG